UUGGAGGGCAAGUCUGGUGCCAGCAGCCGCGGUAAUUCCAGCUCCAAUAGCGUAUAUUAAAGUUGUUGCAGUUAAAAAGCUCGUAGUUGAACUUCAGGCCUGUCCAGACGGUCCGCCUUAAUUGGUGUGUACUGUCCUUGGGUGGGUCCUACCUUCUGGCGAAGCGGCAUGGCCUUAAUUGGUUGUGUCGGGGAACCAGGACUUUUACUGUGAAAAAAUUAGAGUGUUCAAAGCAGGCAAAUAUGCUCGAAUACAUUAGCAUGGAAUAAUGGAAUAGGACGAUGGUUCUAUUUUGUUGGUUCUAGGACCGUUGUAAUGAUUAAUAGGGAUAGUUGGGGGCAUUAGUAUUCAAUUGUCAGAGGUGAAAUUCUUGGAUUUAUUGAAGACUAACUACUGCGAAAGCAUUUGCCAAGGAUGUUUUCAUUAAUCAAGAACGAAAGUUAGGGGAUCGAAGACGAUCAGAUACCGUCGUAGUCUUAACCAUAAACUAUGCCGACUAGGGAUCGGAUGAUGUUAUUUUUAAUGACUCAUUCGGCGCCUUACGGGAAAC
This 550-nucleotide ribosomal RNA is filed under the name uncultured Glomeromycotina. RNAcentral describes it as "bacterial SSU rRNA". It matches the Rfam family "Eukaryotic small subunit ribosomal RNA", at positions 548 to 1098 of the family's 1831-position model. The record is from RNAcentral. Lineage: Eukaryota; Fungi; Glomeromycota.